Molecule: ribosomal RNA, 435 nt
Filed under: uncultured bacterium
Lineage: Bacteria
Description: bacterial SSU rRNA
Rfam family: Bacterial small subunit ribosomal RNA
Source: RNAcentral
AACGCGAAGAACCUUACCUGGCCUUGACAUACUAAGAACUUUCCAGAGAUGGAUUGGUGCCUUCGGGAACUUAGAUACAGGUGCUGCAUGGCUGUCGUCAGCUCGUGUCGUGAGAUGUUGGGUUAAGUCCCGCAACGAGCGCAACCCUUUUCCUUAUUUGCCAGCGGGUUAAGCCGGGAACUUUAAGGAUACUGCCAGUGACAAACUGGAGGAAGGCGGGGACGACGUCAAGUCAUCAUGGCCCUUACGGCCAGGGCUACACACGUGCUACAAUGGUCGGUACAAAGGGUUGCUACCUCGCGAGAGGAUGCUAAUCUCAAAAAGCCGAUCGUAGUCCGGAUCGCAGUCUGCAACUCGACUGCGUGAAGUCGGAAUCGCUAGUAAUCGCGGAUCAGAAUGCCGCGGUGAAUACGUUCCCGGGUCUUGUACACACCG